UUCUUAUCGAGAGUGGUGGAGGGACUGGCCCGAUGAAACCCGGCAACCGAUUUUAGAAAAUGGAUUGCAGUGAAUGUAGCAAUCUACUUUCUAAAAUGUCAUGGUGCUAAUUCCUUCAAAAUGGCAUGUGCAGUCAAUGCAAUGUGAUUUUGGCAGAUGAGAA
RNAcentral lists this non-coding RNA (163 nucleotides) under Paenibacillus sp. Its description in RNAcentral is "SAM-I sequence". It matches the Rfam family "SAM riboswitch aptamer (S box leader)". Rfam says of the family: The SAM riboswitch is found upstream of a number of genes which code for proteins involved in methionine or cysteine biosynthesis in Gram-positive bacteria. The SAM riboswitch acts at the level of transcription termination control. The predicted structure consists of a complex stem-loop region followed by a single stem loop terminator region. The record is from RNAcentral. Lineage: Bacteria; Bacillati; Bacillota; Bacilli; Caryophanales; Paenibacillaceae. RNAcentral also lists the same sequence under 1 other name.